UGAGGGAAUAUUUGGGGUCAAUGGGCGAGAGCCUGAACCAGCCAAGUAGCGUGCAGGACGACGGCCCUAUGGGUUGUAAACUGCUUUUUGCGCGGGGAUAAAGUGCGCCACGUGUGGCUCAUUGCAGGUACCGCGCGAAUAAGGACCGGCUAAUUCCGUGCCAGCAGCCGCGGUAAUACGGAAGGUCCGGGCGUUAUCCGGAUUCAUUGGGUUUAAAGGGAGCGCAGGCCGCCCCUUAAGCGUGUUGUGAAAUGCCGCGGCUCAACCGUGGCACUGCAGCGCGAACUGGGGGGCUUGAGUGCGCGCAGCGCAGGCGGAACUCGUGGUGUAGCGGUGAAAUGCUUA
RNAcentral lists this ribosomal RNA (345 nucleotides) under uncultured Prevotella sp. Its description in RNAcentral is "bacterial SSU rRNA". It matches the Rfam family "Bacterial small subunit ribosomal RNA", at positions 354 to 692 of the family's 1533-position model. The record is from RNAcentral. Lineage: Bacteria; Pseudomonadati; Bacteroidota; Bacteroidia; Bacteroidales; Prevotellaceae.